UGGAGGUAUCAGAAGUGCGAAUGCUGACAUAAGUAACGAUAAAGCGGGUGAAAAGCCCGCUCGCCGGAAGACCAAGGGUUCCUGUCCAACGUUAAUCGGGGCAGGGUGAGUCGACCCCUAAGGCGAGGCCGAAAGGCGUAGUCGAUGGGAAACGGGUUAAUAUUCCCGUACUUGGUGUUACUGCGAAGGGGGGACGGAGAAGGCUAUGUUGGCCGGGCGACGGUUGUCCCGGUUUAAGCGUGUAGGUGUGUGUUCCAGGUAAAUCCGGUUCACUUUAACACUGAGGCGUGACGACGAGGCACUACGGUGCUGAAGCAACAAAUGCCCUGCUUCCAGGAAAAGCCUCUAAGCAUCAGGUAACAUCAAAUCGUACCCCAAACCGACACAGGUGGUCAGGUAGAGAAUACCAAGGCGCUUGAGAGAACUCGGGUGAAGGAACUAGGCAAAAUGGUGCCGUAACUUCGGGAGAAGGCACGCUGACACGUAGGUGAAGUGAUUUACUCAUGGAGCUGAAGUCAGUCGAAGAUACCAGCUGGCUGCAACUGUUUAUUAAAAACACAGCACUGUGCAAACACGAAAGUGGACGUAUACGGUGUGACGCCUGCCCGGUGCCGGAAGGUUAAUUGAUGGGGUCAGCGCAAGCGAAGCUCCUGAUCGAAGCCCCGGUAAACGGCGGCCGUAACUAUAACGGUCCUAAGGUAGCGAAAUUCCUUGUCGGGUAAGUUCCGACCUGCACGAAUGGCGUAAUGAUGGCCAGGCUGUCUCCACCCGAGACUCAGUGAAAUUGAACUCGCUGUGAAGAUGCAGUGUACCCGCGGCAAGACGGAAAGACCCCGUGAACCUUUACUAUAGCUUGACACUGAACAUUGAGCCUUGAUGUGUAGGAUAGGUGGGAGGCUUUGAAGUGUGGACGCCAGUCUGCAUGGAGCCGACCUUGAAAUACCACCCUUUAAUGUUUGAUGUUCUAACGUGGACCCGUAAUCCGGGUUGCGGACAGUGUCUGGUGGGUAGUUUGACUGGGGCGGUCUCCUCCUAAAGAGUAACGGAGGAGCACGAAGGUUGGCUAAUCCUGGUCGGACAUCAGGAGGUUAGUGCAAUGGCAUAAGCCAGCUUGACUGCGAGCGUGACGGCGCGAGCAGGUGCGAAAGCAGGUCAUAGUGAUCCGGUGGUUCUGAAUGGAAGGGCCAUCGCUCAACGGAUAAAAGGUACUCCGGGGAUAACAGGCUGAUACCGCCCAAGAGUUCAUAUCGACGGCGGUGUUUGGCACCUCGAUGUCGGCUCAUCACAUCCUGGGGCUGAAGUAGGUCCCAAGGGUAUGGCUGUUCGCCAUUUAAAGUGGUACGCGAGCUGGGUUUAGAACGUCGUGAGACAGUUCGGUCCCUAUCUGCCGUGGGCGCUGGAGAACUGAGGGGGGCUGCUCCUAGUACGAGAGGACCGGAGUGGACGCAUCACUGGUGUUCGGGUUGUCAUGCCAAUGGCACUGCCCGGUAGCUAAAUGCGGAAGAGAUAAGUGCUGAAAGCAUCUAAGCACGAAACUUGCCCCGA
This 1545-nucleotide ribosomal RNA is filed under the name Salmonella enterica. RNAcentral's name for it is "partial 23S ribosomal RNA". It matches the Rfam family "Bacterial large subunit ribosomal RNA", at positions 1274 to 2802 of the family's 2925-position model. RNAcentral also lists the same sequence under 1 other name. The record is from RNAcentral. Lineage: Bacteria; Pseudomonadati; Pseudomonadota; Gammaproteobacteria; Enterobacterales; Enterobacteriaceae.